This 460-nucleotide ribosomal RNA is filed under the name uncultured bacterium. RNAcentral describes it as "partial 16S ribosomal RNA". It matches the Rfam family "Bacterial small subunit ribosomal RNA", at positions 338 to 795 of the family's 1533-position model. The record is from RNAcentral.
CCUACGUGAGGCAGCAGUGAGGAAUAUUGGUCAAUGGGCUUACGCCUGAACCAGCCAAGUCGCGUGAGGGAAGACUGCCCUAUGGGUUGUAAACCUCUUUUGUCAGGGAGCAACGCCGGCUACGUGUAGCCGGACUGAGAGUACCUGAAGAAAAAGCAUCGGCUAACUCCGUGCCAGCAGCCGCGGUAAUACGGAGGAUGCGAGCGUUAUACGGAUUUAUUGGGUUUAAAGGGUGCGUAGGCGGAAUGCCAAGUCAGCGGUAAAAUCGCGGGGCUCAACCUCGCUCCGCCGUUGACACUGGCGUUCUUGAGUGGGCGAGAAGUAUGCGGAAUGCGUGGUGUAGCGGUGAAAUGCAUAGAUAUCACGCAGAACUCCGAUUGCGAAGGCAGCAUACCGGCGCCCAACUGACGCUGAAGCACGAAAGCGUGGGUAUCGAACAGGAUUAGAUACCCUGGUAGUC